RNAcentral lists this long non-coding RNA (1185 nucleotides) under Malus domestica (apple). RNAcentral's name for it is "long non-coding RNA (MDOM_LNC008047)". The record is from RNAcentral. Lineage: Eukaryota; Viridiplantae; Streptophyta; Magnoliopsida; Rosales; Rosaceae.
AAUAUCUAGUUUUGUACCCAGCUCUCUUGAGGGUUGUGGAGUGUAGCUAGUAUUGAACAUGGAGAUCAAUUAUGCUCUGGCAUUGCUCUUAGUCCUCAUUCUCAACUUGGGUAGUUUGCUCACUUCUCUUGCUAACUCCUAUUGCCCACCACCAACAUACCCUCCAGUUCCUCACUUGCCACCCAAACACCCUCCCCAUGUAACUCCACCCUUCCACCCUAAACCACCAAAGAAGCCACCACCAUAUGUCAAACCACCUCAUGCAAAGCCUCCUCCUCAUGUACCAAUCAAACCCCCUCAUGUUAAACCACCCAUUGUAAAACCACCUCCUUAUCCGAAACCUCCAGUUGCCAAACCACCUCCCCAUCCCAAACCUCCUGUUGUCAAACCACCUCCCCAUCCCAAACCUCCUGUUGUCAAACCACCUCCCCAUCCCAAACCUCCUGUUGUCAAACCACCUCCCUAUCCCAAACCUCCUGUUGUCAAACCACCUCACCUAUCCCAAACCUCCUGUUGUCAAACCACCCUCCCUAUCCCAAACCUCCUGUUGUCAAACCACCUCCCUAUCCCAAACCUCCUGUUGUCAAACCACCUCACCAUCCCAAGCCUCCUGUUGUCAAACCACCUCCCCAUCCCAAACCUCCUGUUGUCAAGCCUCCAGUUGUCAAACCACCUCCCCAUCCCAAACCACCAGUUGUACUGCCUCCACCAUAUACCCCGAAGCCCCGGUUGUACUGCCUUCCACCAUAUACCCCGAAGCCCCCGGUUGUGCUGCCUCCACCAUAUACCCCGAAGCCCCCGGUUGUGGCCUCCACCAUAUCCCCCGAACCCCCCCGGUGUAUGUGCUGCCUCCACCAUAUACCCCGAAGCCCCCGGUUGUACUGCCUCCACCAUAUACCCCGAAGCCCCCGGUUGUACUGCCUCCACCAUAUACCCCGAAGCCCCCGGUUGUACUGCCUCCACCAUAUACCCCGAAGCCCCCGGUUGUACUGCCUCCACCAUAUACCCCGAAGCCCCCAGUUGUACUGCCUCCACCAUAUACCCCCAAGCCCCCAGUUGUACUGCCUCCACCAUAUACCCCCAAGCCCCCAGUUGUACUGCCUCCACCUUCACCACCUGUUGUAGUGCCAAGCCCACCAUCAACACCAACCCCAACCCCAGUUGUCCCAGUGAAGCCUCCUCCAC